Molecule: ribosomal RNA, 119 nt
Filed under: Pteropus alecto (black flying fox)
Lineage: Eukaryota; Metazoa; Chordata; Mammalia; Chiroptera; Pteropodidae
Source: RNAcentral
GUCUACAGCCAUGCCACCCUGAACAAGCCCAAUCCCGUCUGAUCUCGCAAGCUAACCAGGGUCGGGCCUGGUUAGUACUUAGAUGGGAGACCACCUAGGAAGACCAAGUGCUGUAGGCG